GGGCCGGUAGCUCAUGUGGUAGAGCAACGGACUUUUAAUCCGUGGGUCGCGGGUUCGAAUCCCGCCCGGCUCA
Molecule: transfer RNA, 73 nt
Filed under: Lentisphaerota bacterium
Lineage: Bacteria; Pseudomonadati; Lentisphaerota
Description: Lentisphaerae bacterium (anaerobic digester metagenome) tRNA-Lys
Rfam family: tRNA
About the family: Transfer RNA (tRNA) molecules are approximately 80 nucleotides in length. Their secondary structure includes four short double-helical elements and three loops (D, anti-codon, and T loops). Further hydrogen bonds mediate the characteristic L-shaped molecular structure. tRNAs have two regions of fundamental functional importance: the anti-codon, which is responsible for specific mRNA codon recognition, and the 3' end, to which the tRNAs corresponding amino acid is attached (by aminoacyl-tRNA synthetases). tRNAs cope with the degeneracy of the genetic code in two manners: having more than one tRNA (with a specific anti-codon) for a particular amino acid; and 'wobble' base-pairing, i.e. permitting non-standard base-pairing at the 3rd anti-codon position.
Source: RNAcentral